UUUUAAGUUCGGAGGUGAGGAAGCUUCAUUGAGAGGCUAUGGUCUGUCUGCGCAGUUAGGCACAGGUGAGGGAGCGAGCGGUGUGGCUAUCUGGGGGAGAGGUGUUCCAGGGGGAGGAACGGCCACUGCAGAAAAACUUAAGGGAAGAGUGGCCUGGAGUGGUCCUGUGCAGAGAAAAGCAAGGAGGCCAAUAUGGCUGGGGGAGGAGUGGGGGGAGGGACGCAGUGAGGUCAGAGGGGGAAGGGGAAGAGGACACUUAAAGACAUCCGUUCUCUCCUCUCUAAAACCUUCCAGUGGCUUCCAGCUCCUGGCCUCUCAGGCCCCCCUGCUCUUAGACACCAGUGCCUCCCCUCUCCCCCUCACUGCUUUGCCAAGCUCAUUCCCACCUCGAGACCCUUUCCCUUGCGGCAUCCUCUGCCCAGAAAGCCCCUCCCCCAUCUUCUCCUGGCUGGCUUGUUCUUACCCUUCUGAUCUAAUCUCAAACAUCACUUUUUGGGUGGACCCUAUGUCAAGUAGCCCCCACUCCUUGAUUAUCCCAGUAAUCUCUAUUCUCUAUGCAUUUAGGACUACUUAGAAUGAUCUCGCUUGGUUUACAUGUGAGUGGUCUGUCUAGUCCUCCCCAAAGGAAACCCCACGAGGUCGAGGGCCUCCUCUGGCUUGUUCACCUUGGUCUCCCUGGAGCAUUCCUCAAUAGUUACUUGUUGAAUGGAUGAGGGAUUUGGUGACCUCAUCCUCCUGGGAAUUCCUCUGAUUAAAGGGGUGGGUUCUGGGUGUCAUCUUAGCACCUAAGCUUUCCAGCGGGCCUUAACUAUUACCCCAUCCAGACGACCUUUGGCCUAGGGGAAGACUAAGGCUGGGACAGAAGCAUUCUUUCCUUCUGUCUGUCUUAUGGACAGUGCUUUGUGCCCUCCACCUUCUAUUCAUUCUCCGGUACUUCCAAGGUCAUACAUGCUUUCCUCCUCCUAAUCUCAUUUCGGCUGGCCAGCUCUCUCAGAACUGGAGGAGGGGAGGGGCACUACUAAAAUCAGUGAUUUCUGAGAUUUGAGAGGUCCUCAGGGACCGUUUGGCCAAAGGAGUCAUGUGACAGAGAGACAUGUGACAGAUGGGGAAACUGAAGCCUACAGCAGGGAAAGAAUGUGUCCAGGAGAAUUGGUGGCAGAUCACAGGGAGAAGUCAUCAGACUGGGAGAUAUAACCCUGGGGGUUCAUUGAGACCCCUAAAAUUACAUAAAUAAUAUUGUUUAAAGAUUUUAUUUGAGAGAGAGAGAGCACAAGCAGGGGGAGCAGCAGAGGGAGAGGGAGAAGCAGGCUGCCCACUGAGCAUCAGGCUCCAUCCCAGGACCCUGGGAUCAUGACCUGAGCCGAAGCCAGAUACUUCACCGACUGAGCCACCCAGGCACUCCUAAAAUUACACAAAUAAUGUUAUGUGCUCUUUUGACCAAGUCACAAAUGCAAGAAGUUAGCCCUAGCCCAACAAGGACCAAGGCCGUUGGAUCCCUCACCUGACUGCCCCGCCCCUCCAAGAUGGUCUCUCAGACCGGCUGCGCAUAAGUGCUUUCUGGGUUGGACAGACCUUGAGAAGCAAUCUCUGAGCCCUCUGUUGGACCAGGCUGUCAGCUGACCUGAAGAUAAUCCUAUUGUAUGUAAAAGACUCAAACUUUCCUGGUCUGACUGCAAGACAAUCUCUUGCUCAGCUCCAGUCCUUGGCAACGCAGGUCGGGGCUGGACACAGACAGGGACAGGAGCCAGAGAGGGUUGGCUGGUGUUCCUUUAAGGGCUUGAAGGGCGAGUGGGCCCUUGAGCUAGCUCUGUGAGGACCGUGGCUGGCCGGCGGCUCCAUGGGCCCGGAUGCUGUUGGCACAGGACCUCGGAUACUCCACAGGCAUUGCUAAGUCAGCGAACCUGGCACUGUUCUCUGCAAGUCCCCAAACCCCACAAAAACAUGCAAGUCCAGCCGUAGGGCAUCAGGAGAGAAGAGCACGUAGCCCUUUGGAAAGGCUAAUCAUGAAGACGAGGAAGGAAGAUAGAAAAAUAUAAAUGGUGCAGAAAUAUUAUCCGCUUUUCAUGGAUGUGAAUAAAAUCGCAAAAAGAGAGAAAAUCCUUGUCCACAUGGGGAUCCCAUUCUAGGUUCAGAGUCCUGUGAGGGUGAUAAAGGCUUGCCUUCAGGGAGGAGUGGCUGCCUAAUUGACUUCCCCCUUUGGUCUUCCAUUUGACCUCCCUCUUGAUCCAAGUAGAAGCCUCUGUGGAGCUGGGAGCCAGUUGGUCCCUCAACUAGCAAGACCCCAAAAGAAUGGAAUCCAGCAUACUGGAUGGUUGACUUCUUACCCAUCGUUUUCCAAGCCGUGCACUAAGGGCCCUGCACACAAUCUUCCCUCAGUCUUUCAACCACUCUGUGAGGUAGGGAACAUUCCUACUUUACAGGAACAAAAGCCAAGGCUCAGAGAUGUGAUUUGCCCAGGAUCAUGCAGCUAACUAGAGUAAUGGUAAUGAAUAGCUAACAAUCACUGAGCACUUACUAAGAGGGCUUCUGGUUUGAACCCACUCAGUCCUCAUAACAUCCUUGUGAAGGAGGUGACAUCAGCCCAUUUGAACAAGUGUGGAAUCUGGAGUACAAGAAGGUUAUCUUAACGCCCUCGCCGUAUAUGGUGAGGGUUGGCUCCAGCUCUUCCUGGUCCACAGGCAUGUACUGAGAACUGGCUGUGUGCCAGGAACAUCCAGCUGCCCUGGUGAUCAGACCCAGUCACUGCCCUCGUGGAGCAUCCUUGUUGGCUUCACCGCACCAGGACGGUGUGGAGACGGGCCGGAGUGGAAAAAGGGUUGGGACAGCCAGGGGUAGAACUUCCAGAGGAUGCAGGGCCCAGGUGGGGAGCAGCCCUGCCUUCAGUUGCCCCUGCCUGGGGAUGGCCAUUGAGUGGCCUUAACCUCAUCCUUUGUGGCCACCCUCAGGUAAUGAUUAUCCUCUUUGGGGGACUGAGGCAAGAGGUCAGGUGUCUCGAGAGCCCCAUCAUCUCCGGGCCUUCAACCUCCGUGGGCUCUUCACAUGCCCAUUGUGGGGGUUUUCCCUAUCUCUGUUUCACAUA
Molecule: long non-coding RNA, 3079 nt
Organism: Mirounga angustirostris (Northern elephant seal)
Lineage: Eukaryota; Metazoa; Chordata; Mammalia; Carnivora; Phocidae
Exons: 5
Source: RefSeq, a predicted model, not a curated record